GGAUGAGUGUCCGAGCGGUCGAAGGAGACGGUCUUGAAAACCGUUGACGGGCAACCGUCCGCGAGUUCGAAUCUCGCCUCAUCCGCCA
This 88-nucleotide transfer RNA is filed under the name Bifidobacterium gallicum DSM 20093 = LMG 11596. Its description in RNAcentral is "tRNA-Ser". It matches the Rfam family "tRNA". From Rfam's summary of the family: Transfer RNA (tRNA) molecules are approximately 80 nucleotides in length. Their secondary structure includes four short double-helical elements and three loops (D, anti-codon, and T loops). Further hydrogen bonds mediate the characteristic L-shaped molecular structure. tRNAs have two regions of fundamental functional importance: the anti-codon, which is responsible for specific mRNA codon recognition, and the 3' end, to which the tRNAs corresponding amino acid is attached (by aminoacyl-tRNA synthetases). tRNAs cope with the degeneracy of the genetic code in two manners: having more than one tRNA (with a specific anti-codon) for a particular amino acid; and 'wobble' base-pairing, i.e. permitting non-standard base-pairing at the 3rd anti-codon position. The record is from RNAcentral. Lineage: Bacteria; Bacillati; Actinomycetota; Actinomycetes; Bifidobacteriales; Bifidobacteriaceae.